UUACGGGAGGCAGCAGUAGGGAAUAUUGCAUAAUGGGCGAAAGCCUGAUGCAGCAACGCCGCGUGUGCGAUGAAGGCCUUCGGGUCGUAAAGCACUUUUAGAGCGGAUGAGGAAGGACAGUACGCUCUGAAUAAGCCUCGGCUAACUACGUGCCAGCAGCCGCGGUAAAACGUAGGAGGCGAGCGUUAUCCGGAUUUACUGGGCGUAAAGCGUGUGCAGGCGGUCGGGUAAGUUGGAUGUGAAAGCUCCUGGCUUAACUGGGAGAGGUCGUUCAAUACUACCGGACUUGAGGAUGGGAGAGGGAGGUGGAAUUCCGGGUGUAGUGGUGAAAUGCGUAGAUAUCCGGAGGAACACCAGUGGCGAAAGCGGCCUCCUGGCCCAAACCUGACGCUCAUACACGAAAGCUAGGGGAGCGAACGGGAUUAGAUACCCCGGUAGC
Molecule: ribosomal RNA, 439 nt
Filed under: uncultured bacterium
Lineage: Bacteria
Description: bacterial SSU rRNA
Rfam family: Bacterial small subunit ribosomal RNA
Source: RNAcentral